Molecule: ribosomal RNA, 117 nt
Filed under: Sinocyclocheilus anshuiensis
Lineage: Eukaryota; Metazoa; Chordata; Actinopteri; Cypriniformes; Cyprinidae
Source: RNAcentral
AUAGGCAGCAAUAUCACCCUGUAUCCCAAGACUGGUUACCUACUGAAGCUAAGCAGGGCUGAGCCUGGUCAGUACCUGCAUGGGAGACCUCCUGGGAAAACUAGGUUGUUGCUGGAA